RNAcentral lists this ribosomal RNA (62 nucleotides) under Bifidobacterium breve. Its description in RNAcentral is "partial 16S ribosomal RNA". The record is from RNAcentral. Lineage: Bacteria; Bacillati; Actinomycetota; Actinomycetes; Bifidobacteriales; Bifidobacteriaceae.
GGUUUUUUUGUGGAGGGUUCGAUUCUGGCUCAGGAUGAACGCUGGCGGCGUGCUUAACACAU